GAUGAACGCUGGCGGCGUGCCUAAUACAUGCAAGUCGAGCGAACAGACGAGGAGCUUGCUCCUCUGACGUUAGCGGCGGACGGGUGAGUAACACGUGGAUAACCUACCUAUAAGACUGGGAUAACUUCGGGAAACCGGAGCUAAUACCGGAUAAUAUAUUGAACCGCAUGGUUCAAUAGUGAAAGACGGUUUUGCUGUCACUUAUAGAUGGAUCCGCGCCGCAUUAGCUAGUUGGUAAGGUAACGGCUUACCAAGGCAACGAUGCGUAGCCGACCUGAGAGGGUGGUCGGCCACACUGGAACUGGGACACGGUCCAGACGCCUACGGGAGGCAGCAGUAGGGAAUCUUCCGCAAUGGGCGAAAGCCUGACGGAGCAACGCCGCGUGAGUGAUGAAGGUCUUCGGAUCGUAAAACUCUGUUAUUAGGGAAGAACAAAUGUGUAAGUAACUAUGCACGUCUUGACGGUACCUAAUCAGAAAGCCACGGCUAACUACGUG
Molecule: ribosomal RNA, 497 nt
Filed under: uncultured bacterium
Lineage: Bacteria
Description: partial 16S ribosomal RNA
Rfam family: Bacterial small subunit ribosomal RNA
Source: RNAcentral